CCCGCCUACGGGAGGCAGCAGUAGGGAAUAUUGGGCAAUGGUCGGAAGACUGACCCAGCCAUGUAGCGUGCAGGAAGAAGGCGUUACGCGUUGUAAACUGCUUUUAUACGGGAAGAAAAAGCAACUGCGGUUGAAAUUGCCGGUACCGUAUGAAUAAGCACCGGCUAACUCCGUGCCAGCAGCCGCGGUAAUACGGAGGGUGCGAGCGUUGUCCGGAUUUAUUGGGUUUAAAGGGUGCGCAGGCGGCCUGAUAAGUCAGCGGUGAAAUACUCCGGCUCAACCGGAGGGGUGCCGUUGAUACUGUUUGGCUUGAGUGCGGUCUACGUACAUGGAAUUUAUGGUGUAGCGGUGAAAUGCAUAGAUACCAUAAGGAACACCGAUAGCGAAGGCAUUGUACGGGGCCGUAACUGACGCUGAGGCACGAAAGCGUGGGUAGCGAACAGGAUUAGAUACCCUGGUAGUCCACGCCGUAAACGAU
RNAcentral lists this ribosomal RNA (478 nucleotides) under uncultured bacterium. RNAcentral's name for it is "bacterial SSU rRNA". It matches the Rfam family "Bacterial small subunit ribosomal RNA", at positions 334 to 810 of the family's 1533-position model. The record is from RNAcentral.